CGGUAUUAUUGUUUCCUAAUGUCCAAAAAAAGAAUAGAACUGAAAAAGGUGACCGGUUUAGAGGCCACGAUUCCAUUUCAAAAUUAUGACAGAAACAAACAACAAUCCAAAAUAAUCCAAUCUCUUUCACUAAAAUGUAAGUAAACGUUCUGAGCUUCUCAUAAAUUGGGAAAUUAAAGAGGAGUAUAUAGCUCUCGAGUACAGCACAUGAACCGCUGACUUUGACGUUAAUGAACUUUGAAAUCAACUGCAGAAGCUUUAUGUGAAACUAUGAAUCAGUCAGACUUUAAGCUAAGCUUUGCUUUGCUUGUACUAGUUCUUAGUUAUUGUUUGUAUGGAAAAUAGUCGAAAUACAUUGGACUGGCCAGUCUUUUGCACCCUCUUAACAUGAUAAAUUGUUUCUUGUUUAAUACUCCUACUCCUACUUAAUCUUUUUCACUUACCAAUAGGAAAUAGCAAUAUGAAUUUACCACAAAAUAAAUAAAUCAGGG
This 491-nucleotide long non-coding RNA is filed under the name Panax ginseng (ginseng). Its description in RNAcentral is "long non-coding RNA (PGIN_LNC017560)". The record is from RNAcentral. Lineage: Eukaryota; Viridiplantae; Streptophyta; Magnoliopsida; Apiales; Araliaceae.